Small nuclear RNA from Anolis carolinensis (green anole), 105 nucleotides. The record is from Ensembl. NCBI's taxonomy places the organism in Eukaryota, Metazoa, Chordata, Lepidosauria, Squamata, Anolidae.
AUGCUCACCAGCAGCACAUAUACUAAAACUGGAACGAUACAGAGAAGAUUAGCAUGGCCUCUGCACAAGGAUGACACGCAAAUUCAUGAAACAUUCUAUAUUUUU